Molecule: unclassified non-coding RNA, 329 nt
Filed under: soil metagenome
Description: partial contains 5.8S ribosomal RNA, internal transcribed spacer 2, and large subunit ribosomal RNA
Rfam family: 5.8S ribosomal RNA (bases 1-120)
Source: RNAcentral
GAUGAAGAACGCAGCGAAAUGCGAUAAGUAGUGUGAAUUGCAGAAUUCAGUGAAUCAUCGAAUCUUUGAACGCACAUUGCGCCCCUUGGCAUCCCGAGGGGCAUGCCUGUUCGAGCGUCAUUUCACCACUCAAGCCUGGCUUGGUGUUGGGCGACGUCCCCUUUGGGGACGCGCCUCGAAACGCUCGGCGGCGUGGCACCGGCUUUAAGCGUAGCAGAAUCUUUCGCUUUGGAAGUCGGGGCCCCGUCUGCCGGAAGACCUACUCGCAAGGUUGACCUCGGAUCAGGCAGGGAUACCCGCUGAACUUAAGCAUAUCAAUAAGCGGAGGA